RNAcentral lists this ribosomal RNA (227 nucleotides) under uncultured bacterium. RNAcentral's name for it is "partial 16S ribosomal RNA". It matches the Rfam family "Bacterial small subunit ribosomal RNA", at positions 102 to 334 of the family's 1533-position model. The record is from RNAcentral.
ACGGGUGAGUAACGCGUGGGAACAUACCCUUCGGUUCGGAAUAACUCAGGGAAACUUGAGCUAAUACCGGAUACGUCCAAGGUUUAAUCGCUUUGGAGAAAGAUUUAUCGCCGAGGGAUUGGCCCGCGUCUGAUUAGCUUGUUGGUGAGGUAAUGGCUCACCAAGGCGACGAUCAGUAGCUGGUCUGAGAGGAUGGCCAGCCUCACUGGGACUGAGACACGGCCCAG